RNAcentral lists this transfer RNA (71 nucleotides) under Fukomys damarensis (Damara mole-rat). It matches the Rfam family "tRNA". From Rfam's summary of the family: Transfer RNA (tRNA) molecules are approximately 80 nucleotides in length. The record is from Rfam by way of RNAcentral. Lineage: Eukaryota; Metazoa; Chordata; Mammalia; Rodentia; Bathyergidae.
AGGGAUGUGGCUCAGUGAUGGAGUGCUUGCCUAGCAUGCAGGAGACCCUGAGUUCAAACUCAGUAAUCCGC